This 906-nucleotide ribosomal RNA is filed under the name Triticum aestivum (bread wheat). Its description in RNAcentral is "partial small subunit ribosomal RNA". The record is from RNAcentral. Lineage: Eukaryota; Viridiplantae; Streptophyta; Magnoliopsida; Poales; Poaceae.
CCAUAUACCUCUCAACAGAACGGCGAGGCCGAACGAGCAAUUCGCACGGCCAACAAUGUCAUCCGCACUCUCCUCAUUCAAGCGUCUCUCCCACCAUCCUUUUGGGCUGAAGCACUUCGCACAGCCACCUUUCUCAUCAAUAUUCGUCCCACUUCUUCAAAGCAAUUCCUCACGCCGUAUACCCUACUCUUAGGCUCUCCACCACCAUAUGCUAGCCUUCGUGUCUUCGGUUGCCUAUGCUAUCCAAACACUACAUCCACCUCCGCUAACAAACGCUCUCCAUGUUCGACUAGAUGUGUCUUUCUUGGCUACCCUUCACGGCACAAAGGUUAUCGUUGCCUUGACCUUACCACUCGUCGUAUUAUUAUCUCUCGUCAUGUAGUUUUCGACGAGUCUACCUUUCCCUAUGAACCAACUCCAGCAACUCCACCACGUUGCACCGAAAUCUUUGAUCCACCCGUAUAUCAACCCGCUAUGUAUGCGCCCACUCCACCCAAACCAACUAUGAAUGUGCCCGCUACACCCACACCCACUAUGCAUGCACCCACUUCUCCCCAACCUGCUAUGCAUGCGCCCACUAACCCAACACCUCCCAUACCUGACCUCGUCUCCCCAUCAUCUCCACCGGGACCACUCAGUCCGCCUGUGCCCGCAACCUCUCUGCCUACUCCCGUCCCACCACCUCCUCUUGCACCUAUACACCGUACACUUUCCACUACCGGUCGCCUCCUCCCACCCAUCGAUCACCUAAACCUCUCAGCCAUAGCCUCUUCGCCUCUUCCAUAUAACUAUCUUAUAGCAUUACGCGAUCCAAAUUGGCGCCAAGCCAUGCAAGAGGAGUUUGAUGUCCUUAUACUUAUUAACACUCGACUUUGGUCCCUCCACCACCUGGAGCAAAUAUUGUGA